Molecule: long non-coding RNA, 367 nt
Organism: Micropterus dolomieu (smallmouth bass)
Lineage: Eukaryota; Metazoa; Chordata; Actinopteri; Centrarchiformes; Centrarchidae
Exons: 3
Source: RefSeq, a predicted model, not a curated record
GCCACGAUGAAGAAUUUGUGUGUUGCUGUUGUUGUGCUGAGUCUCACUUCAGUGUGCCAGCCUGCGUCACUGGCCUGUGAGAAGCUGUUGAAGCCAGUAGACAAAGGACCAGAUUUUUCUGGGAGUUGGUACCUCAUAGCCAUUUCCUCAGACACCUGUUUGGCUGCCACAUUACUGAAUUCAUUUUUUUGGCCAAGUGUUGCAGUGGACAUUACCUCUAAGGACAUACCGAACAUCUACAAUGGGAACUUUAAGAUUAAAAUGUAUGGAGUUUGUGCUAAUGAUUCAGAAAAUUAUUUGUACGAGAACAACACCGUCUUUGAUGUUGACAGCAACAGUAAGUUUUGUUUAAUAUACUGUGCACUGG